This 253-nucleotide ribosomal RNA is filed under the name uncultured bacterium. Its description in RNAcentral is "partial 16S ribosomal RNA". It matches the Rfam family "Bacterial small subunit ribosomal RNA", at positions 524 to 776 of the family's 1533-position model. The record is from RNAcentral.
UACGAAGGGUGCAAACGUUGCUCGGAAUUACUGGGCGUAAAGCGCACGUAGGCGGAUCGAUCAGUCAGGGGUGAAAUCCCAGGGCUCAACCCUGGAACUGCCUUUGAUACUGUCGAUCUGGAGUAUGGAAGAGGUGAGUGGAAUUCCGAGUGUAGAGGUGAAAUUCGUAGAUAUUCGGAGGAACACCAGUGGCGAAGGCGGCUCACUGGUCCAUUACUGACGCUGAGGUGCGAAAGCGUGGGGAGCAAACAGG